CCUACGGGAGGCAGCAGUAAGGAAUAUUGGUCAAUGGGGGCAACCCUGAACCAGCCAUGCCGCGUGCAGGAAGACGGCCCUACGGGUUGUAAACUGCUUUUAUACGGGAAUAAAUCACGCUACGUGUAGGGUGUUGAAUGUACUGUAAGAAUAAGGAUCGGCUAACUCCGUGCCAGCAGCCGCGGUAAUACGGAGGAUCCAAGCGUUAUCCGGAUUUAUUGGGUUUAAAGGGUGCGUAGGCGGCCUAUUAAGUCAGGGGUGAAAGACGGUGGCUCAACCAUCGCAGUGCCCUUGAUACUGAUGGGCUUGAUUACACUUGAGGUAGGCGGAAUGUGACAAGUAGCGGUGAAAUGCAUAGAUAUGUCACAGAACACCAAUUGCGAAGGCAGCUUACUAAGGUGUUAAUGACGCUGAGGCACGAAAGCGUGGGGAUCAAACAGGAUUAGAUACCCUGGUAGUCCACGCCCUAAACGAUGAAUACUCGAUGUUAGCGAUAUACAGUUAGCGUCAAAGCGAAAGCGUUAAGUAUUCCACCUGGGGAGUACGCCCGCAAGGGUGAAACUCAAAUGAAUUGACGG
RNAcentral lists this ribosomal RNA (578 nucleotides) under uncultured bacterium. Its description in RNAcentral is "bacterial SSU rRNA". It matches the Rfam family "Bacterial small subunit ribosomal RNA", at positions 338 to 916 of the family's 1533-position model. The record is from RNAcentral.